CCUGCGUCUCUCCUGUUAGAUUCCUUUCUCUUCAUCUCUUUGCCUUUUCUGCCUGUCACUCAGCUCUUCACAUAAUCGUUCCUCCAGAAACCAGACCCCUCCCGCACUCACUUGUCCUUCUACUCCUCCCCCAUCACCUAAUUCUGGCUUUUGUCUCUUUCUCUUUAAUCAGAAUGAAGGUUCCCAGCCCGAGCUGUCGACUGGUUGCUGAGUUCCUCCAACAUUCUCUGUGUGUUUGCUUCUGUUUGUUUAUUGAUUAAAAUAAUCAGACUGGUUCAGUGGAAGAGGAAUUUGUGGAAUGGUCAGAGACAGUUUCAUACAGUAGUUUAUUUACCCAGGAACAUGCCAUUUCAGUUGUAAUCUGUGUAAAGAGGUGGUAUUACAGAGAGUUCUUGCGGUGAAGGAUCCUGAAUAUGAGCAGUGGCAGAUGUUUAAGGAGAAGGUUCGUUAGAGCCGACAUUUAUCCCGAUCAGACAGAGGAAUCACAGGGAGCAAACAACAGUCUGUGGUUAAAAGAGUUCAAGAAUUUUGUUGAGAAAUCUGUCCGCGACCAAGGCAGUUCAUACUGGAUUGGAAAAUGCAACUAUGGGAGAGUGGCCUCGAAUAUCGUGUUCCAAAUGAAGGCUGGAGUCUUCGAAUGCAUUGAAUGUGGAUGGUACCCUCACUUUGAACAUUGCAGUGAGGAUAAGCGUUGCUUCAUCUGCGAGAAGUCGGCGCUUCUGUGCUC
This is a long non-coding RNA of Hypanus sabinus (Atlantic stingray), 727 nucleotides long. RefSeq lists it as uncharacterized. The record is from RefSeq and is a predicted model, not a curated record. Lineage: Eukaryota; Metazoa; Chordata; Chondrichthyes; Myliobatiformes; Dasyatidae. The transcript has 3 exons.